GCCUAACGGCUGAACCAGCAACUUGCAGGAAUGAGAGUUAAUAUAAUAAGUUAUUAACUUGCUUGACUAGGUCUUAUAAAGUUCUGGAUAAAGCUUAUUAUGAAAACUUUAUAUCCAUAGGUCUCGACCAAAUCUUGUGCCAGCAGUCGCGGUAAGACAAGGGAGACGAGUGUUAUUCAUCUUUAACAGGUAUAUAGGGUACCUAGACGGUGUGCAAUGGCUUAAAUAAGUACCUGGUACACUUGAGUUUGAUAUGUGAGAGGAAUAUGUCGGAAUUGUUGGAGGAAAGAUGAAAUUUGUUAAUACCAAUAGGACUGAUAACGGCGAAGGCAAACCUCUAUGUACAUGUACUUGCUAUUUCUGUUGGUUUAUUUGCGCACUUUUUUUUUCAUUUAUAUUAUAAAUGAAAAAAAAAGAGUGAGAAAAAAAACGAAAUGAAUUAAGGAUAAACUAAAACAAAAAACAGAAAUUUCUCUUGUAAAAAAUUUCAGAUAGAUAUAGAGGAAAAGAGCAAUGUACUAUAACUGACGUUGAGGGACAAAGGCUCAAAAAGUGAAGAGGAUUAGAUACCCCCGUAACCUGGGCAGACAAUGAUGAGUGCCAUAGGUUGGCUUUAAGGCGGAACUAUAAAUGAAAGUGGAAGCACUCCACCUCAAGAGUAAUGUGGCAACGCAGGAACUGAAAUCAUUUAAACCGUUUUUGAAACCAGUAGUGAAGU
RNAcentral lists this ribosomal RNA (718 nucleotides) under Alternaria leptinellae. RNAcentral describes it as "partial small subunit ribosomal RNA". It matches the Rfam family "Bacterial small subunit ribosomal RNA", at positions 374 to 938 of the family's 1533-position model. Lineage: Eukaryota; Fungi; Ascomycota; Dothideomycetes; Pleosporales; Pleosporaceae. The record is from RNAcentral.